GUGGUGUAGAUGAGGCUGGGUCUAGUCAUGCAAUAGAUAGUGGGGUAGCUGAGGCUGGGUCUAGUCAGGUUAUGGAGGGUGGUGUAGAUGAGGCUGGGUCUAGUCACGCUAUGGGGGGUGGUGUAGAUGAUACUGGGUCUAGUCAGGUUAUGGGGGUGGUGUAGAUGAUACUGGGUCUAGUCAAGUUAUGGGGGUGGUGUAGAUGAUACUGGGUCUGGUCAGGUUAUGGGGGUGGUGUAGAUGAGGCUGGGUCUAGUCAGGUUAUGGAUGGUGGUGUAGAUGAGGCUGGGUCUAGUCAGGUUAUGGAUGGUGGUGUAGAUGAGGCUGGGUCUAGUCAGGUUAUGGAUGGUGGUGUAGAUGAGGCUGGGUCUAGUCAGGUUAUGGAUGGUGGUGUAGAUGAUGCUCAAGGAGAUGGAUGCUCCCAGCUCCUUCUUCUUUGGUUUGGAAAGACAGAGUGGUGAAGCCAAGGGUAUGCAUUGUCUACGGCUGUCUGAUGGGCGGAUAACCUCUGUGGUGGGGGAGAUGCAGCUGUCUGAUGGGCGGGUGACCUCUGUGGUGGGGAGAUGUGGCUGUCUGAUGGGCGGAUAACCUCUGUGGUGGGGGAGAUGCAGCUGUCUGAUGGGCGGGUGACCUCUGUGGUGGGGAGAUGUGGCUGUCUGAUGG
Molecule: long non-coding RNA, 663 nt
Organism: Oncorhynchus tshawytscha (Chinook salmon)
Lineage: Eukaryota; Metazoa; Chordata; Actinopteri; Salmoniformes; Salmonidae
Source: Ensembl